Molecule: transfer RNA, 84 nt
Filed under: Rhizobium skierniewicense
Lineage: Bacteria; Pseudomonadati; Pseudomonadota; Alphaproteobacteria; Hyphomicrobiales; Rhizobiaceae
Description: tRNA-Phe
Source: RNAcentral
GACCACGAACGCUUGCGGGCGGCGGUUAAAACCGAAGUGGUAUGAAUCCUGGGGUCGGAGGUUCGAAUCCUCUUGUGGACACCA